UACUGUUUUUCUUGCUGCUUUGCACGCCGUAGAAGCUAGCGACCAAUUAAACUUUCUGGGCAACCUGAGAAGUGUCGUCUUCUCCUCUGCCAUUCCCGGCUCCACGGUGAUGAGUGCCUCCAUGGUCAGUUGAGUCAUCGGAACAGCCCUUCGACGCCGAAGCACCCCGUCAUCAAACAUCUCCAAGUGGAUCGUUCUCUCUGUUCUUCGUCCAGGCCGUCCCACUGCCGUUCCAGGUUCCUGAACACGAGGAAGAAAUCGUUGUGGAAGACGAGGUUAUCUCCCAGACUGAACAUCCUCCAGCAGAAACCAACUUUUACUUCGACCUCUGCGGUGUGGAACCAGAACCUCCUACAACACAAGGCAAGCCCCGGUGCAUUAUCCCU
Zea mays is the source of this 386-nucleotide long non-coding RNA. RefSeq lists it as uncharacterized. NCBI's taxonomy places the organism in Eukaryota, Viridiplantae, Streptophyta, Magnoliopsida, Poales, Poaceae. The record is from RefSeq and is a predicted model, not a curated record. The transcript has 3 exons.